RNAcentral lists this transfer RNA (76 nucleotides) under Negativicutes bacterium. RNAcentral describes it as "tRNA-Asp". It matches the Rfam family "tRNA". From Rfam's summary of the family: Transfer RNA (tRNA) molecules are approximately 80 nucleotides in length. Their secondary structure includes four short double-helical elements and three loops (D, anti-codon, and T loops). Further hydrogen bonds mediate the characteristic L-shaped molecular structure. tRNAs have two regions of fundamental functional importance: the anti-codon, which is responsible for specific mRNA codon recognition, and the 3' end, to which the tRNAs corresponding amino acid is attached (by aminoacyl-tRNA synthetases). tRNAs cope with the degeneracy of the genetic code in two manners: having more than one tRNA (with a specific anti-codon) for a particular amino acid; and 'wobble' base-pairing, i.e. permitting non-standard base-pairing at the 3rd anti-codon position. Lineage: Bacteria; Bacillati; Bacillota; Negativicutes. The record is from RNAcentral.
GGCCUCGUGGUGUAGCGGUUAACAUCCCGCCCUGUCACGGCGGUGAGCGUGGGUUCGAAUCCCAUCGAGGUCGCCA